This 467-nucleotide ribosomal RNA is filed under the name uncultured bacterium. Its description in RNAcentral is "partial 16S ribosomal RNA". It matches the Rfam family "Bacterial small subunit ribosomal RNA", at positions 28 to 506 of the family's 1533-position model. The record is from RNAcentral.
GACGAACGCUGGCGGCGUGCUUAACACAUGCAAGUCGAACGGAAAGGCCCUGCUUUUGUGGGGUGCUCGAGUGGCGAACGGGUGAGUAACACGUGAGUAACCUGCCCUUGACUUUGGGAUAACUUCAGGAAACUGGGGCUAAUACCGGAUAGGAGCUCCUGCUGCAUGGUGGGGGUUGGAAAGUUUCGGCGGUUGGGGAUGGACUCGCGGCUUAUCAGCUUGUUGGUGGGGUAGUGGCUUACCAAGGCUUUGACGGGUAGCCGGCCUGAGAGGGUGACCGGCCACAUUGGGACUGGGAUACGGCCCAGACUCCUUCGGGAGGCAGGAGUGGGGAAUAUUGCACAAUGGGCGGAAGCCUGAUGCAGCAACGCCGCGUGCGGGAUGACGGCCUUCGGGUUGUAAACCGCUUUCGCCUGUGACGAAGCGUGAGUGACGGUAAUGGGUAAAGAAGCACCGGCUAACUACGU